UACGUAGGGUGCGAGCGUUGUCCGGAAUUAUUGGGCGUAAAGAGCUCGUAGGCGGUUUGUCGCGUCGGCCGUGAAAACUUGGGGCUUAACUCCAAGCUUGCGGUCGAUACGGGCAGACUUGAGUUCGGCAGGGGAGACUGGAAUUCCUGGUGUAGCGGUGAAAUGCGCAGAUAUCAGGAGGAACACCGGUGGCGAAGGCGGGUCUCUGGGCCGACACUGACGCUGAGACGCGAAAGCGUGGGGAGCGAACAGG
This 253-nucleotide ribosomal RNA is filed under the name uncultured bacterium. RNAcentral's name for it is "partial 16S ribosomal RNA". It matches the Rfam family "Bacterial small subunit ribosomal RNA", at positions 524 to 776 of the family's 1533-position model. The record is from RNAcentral.